GGGGUUGUGACUCAGUGGUAGAGCACUUGCCUAGCAUGCAUGAGGGACUGGGUUCGAUCCCCAGCACCACCU
Molecule: transfer RNA, 72 nt
Filed under: Marmota marmota marmota (Alpine marmot)
Lineage: Eukaryota; Metazoa; Chordata; Mammalia; Rodentia; Sciuridae
Also listed under: 3 other names
Rfam family: tRNA
About the family: Transfer RNA (tRNA) molecules are approximately 80 nucleotides in length.
Source: Rfam by way of RNAcentral